RNAcentral lists this non-coding RNA (30 nucleotides) under Mus musculus (house mouse). Lineage: Eukaryota; Metazoa; Chordata; Mammalia; Rodentia; Muridae. The record is from RNAcentral.
UGAAUUGGAGCCAUGUCCUGCUACUUCUGU